CCUGCACUUAGAGGCACUGCAGGUGUGGCUGCUGUGUCACAUGUGUGUCUUUAGGUGGCAGAGUGAGAGAGGCCAUGUCUGUGCAGAGUGUUCUGACCUGUGAACAUCUGGAUGAUUAGUCACCUAAGAUU
Small nucleolar RNA from Apodemus sylvaticus (European woodmouse), 131 nucleotides. RefSeq annotates it as small nucleolar RNA SNORA17. Lineage: Eukaryota; Metazoa; Chordata; Mammalia; Rodentia; Muridae. The record is from RefSeq and is a predicted model, not a curated record. The transcript has a single exon.